Molecule: ribosomal RNA, 468 nt
Filed under: uncultured bacterium
Lineage: Bacteria
Description: partial 16S ribosomal RNA
Rfam family: Bacterial small subunit ribosomal RNA
Source: RNAcentral
GACGAACGCUGGCGGCGUGCUUAACACAUGCAAGUCGAACGGAAAGGCCCUGCUUUUGUGGGGUGCUCGAGUGGCGAACGGGUGAGUAACACGGGAGUAACCUGCCCUUUACUUUGGGAUAACUUCAGGAAACUGGGGCUAAUACCGGAUAGGAGCUCCUGCUGCAUGGUGGGGGUUGGAAAGUUUCGGCGGUUGGGGAUGGACUCGGGGCUUAUCAGCUUGUUGGUUGGGUAGUGGCUUACCAAGGCUUUGACGGGUAGCCGGCCUGGGAGGGUGACCGGCGACAAUGGGACUGAGAGACGGAGCAGACGCCUACGGGAGGCAGCAGUGGGGAAUAUUGCACAAUGGGCGGAAGCCUGAUGCAGAAACGCCGCGUGCGGGAUGACGGCCUUCGGGUUGUAAACCGCUUUCGCCUGUGACGAAGCGUGAGUGACGGUAAUGGGUAAAGAAGCACCGGCUAACUACGUG